GCUAAAGUGCCCUGUACAAUCUAGGGUGAUCUGCAGAAGCCAGGGUACCCUGUAGGAGCUGGGGUACCCUGUAUGAACUGCUGGGUAUCCUGCAUGCACCUGGUACCCUGUAUGAGCUGGGAUAUCCUUUAUGAGCUGAGGUAUCCUGUAUGAGCUGGGUAUCCUGUAUGAACUGGGUAUCCUGUAUGAGCUGGGUGUCCUUUAUGAACUGGGGUAUCCUGUAAGAGCUGGCAAGCGUCAAUGUAGGAGAGUCUUGAAACCCAGCACCAGAUAGUGGUUGCUAAUCCCAGUCUUCCAUACAAGGAUCCCGGGUUCUGUGAAGAAAUGCUUAAUUCUGGGACUGGGAGGGGAGUAAACAAGAUGAGCCUGGAGCAGAAAGCAAGGAAGUGUCCAAACCAAGCCAAACCAAAACACCCAGGAUGCCGCCAUAAUGGGGACAUUUUAAAGGGACAUAGGAGGCAAUGGAAAGAACCCCCAGUGGCUAAAGCUAGAGCAAUUUGAGCAACAAAGUAAGAUAGCAUUGGAAAAUAACUCAAAGUAUAGAGCCAGCCUAUUCUGAUAGAAAUGACUGAGGAAAUAAAUAAUUGGAGGGAGAGUGACAAGUUUUCUGUGCAGACUUCCAAAUAACUUAUGUAGAUCCCCUGCCCUUGAAGAGGGGAAGCACAGCUCCCCACUUUGGCCACGUGGGCUGCUCAUAAUGACUUCUUCCAAAAGGUAUGGAAAGGGGUAAGGCAGUUUUACAGUGGAGAAACCUGGCAGACACUGCUUCAGCCAGGUCAUCACGUUUAACCAUGCUCGGUUACGUUGACCCGAUGCACCCUUGAUGGGAUGGGAUGAAAGCGCUCGACCUCCAUCACAGGUGCAGUCUCCACUCAACCCACUAUGAGAAAAACAUCAAACUCCAAUUCUUCAGUGUUCCUGCCGGUCCUCCUCAGAACAGCCAAGGUCAAGGUCAUUCAACACAGGAAAGUCUGAGAAUCCAUCACCACCAAGAGGAGUCUAAGGAGAACUGAGGAUUGAGGGCCAUGGGGUGUCCCGGCUGGGGUCCGGGGUAGAGACGGAUUUUAGGUAAAGACUAGAGAACCCCGAAUAAAGCGUGGGCUUCAGUGAAGCACUCCUGUGAGUCAGUACUGCUCUGUGAACUGGGGCGGAUGCACAGAGGAACACGAUCUAAUAAUGGGAAAAGAGGAGAUGGGGUGUGGGCUAUGUAGGAACUCUGUGCUAUCUUUACAAUUUUUCUACAAGUUCAUUAUUUUAAAAUUAAAAAUUUAGGAAGAAAAACAACAACAAAAACAUUCCCAGGGGAUUCCAUUGUCCAGUGGGCAUUAGAAUGUUGUUGUUGUUGUAAUUUGUUUAUUGUCACGUUAGCCAUUAUUUAUUAUUAUGUCACAUAUGUGAGACCACAAGGGCUGCUCCCCGCAUACCGGUGGCCCCCCCAGUUAGCUGCCUUGGGGAGGGGAGGAAGACCACCAGAGCCCAGGGUGGGGGCGAGGCGGCUCCCGGAGGCUCCCCUGCCCCUCCCAGUCCUCACCUCCUCCUCCCUGAGUGGCCUGGUGGGAUGGAAGGUGUCUGUGGCCGGCUGCCCAGAACACCAAGAAGGGCCCUCUUCCUCCUUGAACUUGAGCCAGCCCCUGGCGUCUUUCUCGGGGCCAGAGCUUUGCCUCUAAAUGGUCUUUGUUUGCAGACGAUCUGCUGUGCAGAUCAUGAACCGUCGCCGCAGUGCCAGACAGACUCUUCAUCCGGACCGGCCGUCCCACUGGGUCCCCUCAGGAAAGCGCAGAAGCCGGGGACCCCAAACCGCGUCCAGCUCCUCCCACCCGCCCUUCUCGGAGCCGCGCACUUGGUAACUUGCGUGUGAAGAACUCACGGCCGUGUUGCCAGGAAACUGCGGGGAGCAGCCUUUGUGGUCUCACAUAUGCGUAACAUAAUAAUAAAUAACGG
RNAcentral lists this long non-coding RNA (1941 nucleotides) under Homo sapiens (human). RNAcentral describes it as "HSALNT0395144". Lineage: Eukaryota; Metazoa; Chordata; Mammalia; Primates; Hominidae. The record is from RNAcentral.